Molecule: unclassified non-coding RNA, 263 nt
Filed under: air metagenome
Description: partial contains small subunit ribosomal RNA, internal transcribed spacer 1, and 5.8S ribosomal RNA
Rfam family: Eukaryotic small subunit ribosomal RNA (bases 1-46)
Source: RNAcentral
AAGUCGUAACAAGGUUUCCGUAGGUGAACCUGCGGAAGGAUCAUUAAUGAAUUUUAAGGGAAUUGAUGCUGGUCCUUUGUUGGACAUGUGCUCGUUCUCUCUUAAUCCUUAACACACCUGUGCACUUGUUAUAUCAGAGUCGAGGGGAGAAAUCCUUUUAGCUCUGCUUUAAUCAACAUACUCUUAUUAUUAACUUUGAAUGUUUAUCAAGUCGAAAGGCUUUUAAAUUAAUACAACUUUUAACAACGGAUCUCUUGGCUCUC